RNAcentral lists this ribosomal RNA (468 nucleotides) under uncultured bacterium. Its description in RNAcentral is "partial 16S ribosomal RNA". It matches the Rfam family "Bacterial small subunit ribosomal RNA", at positions 28 to 507 of the family's 1533-position model. The record is from RNAcentral.
GACGAACGCUGGCGGCGUGCUUAACACAUGCAAGUCGAACGGAAAGGCUCUGCUUUUGUGGGGUGCUCGAGUGUCGAACGGGUGAGUAACACGUGAGUAACCUGCCCUUUACUUUGGGAUAACUUCAGGAAACUGGGGCUAAUACCGGAUAGGAGCUCCUGCUGCAUGGUGUGGGUUGGAAAGUUUCGGCGGUUGGGGAUGGACUCGCGGCUUAUCAGCUUGUUGGUGGGGUAGUGGCUUACCAAGGCUUUGACGGGUAGCCGGCCUGAGAGGGUGACCGGCCACAUUGGGACUGAGAUACGGCCCAGACUCCUACGGGAGGCAGCAGUGGGGAAUAUUGCACAAUGGGCGGAAGCCUGAUGCAGCAACGCCGCGUGAGGGAUGACGGCCUUCGGGUUGUAAACCGCUUUCGCCUGUGACGAAGCGUGAGUGACGGUAAUGGGUAAAGAAGCACCGGCUAACUACGUG